RNAcentral lists this long non-coding RNA (970 nucleotides) under Heterocephalus glaber (naked mole-rat). RNAcentral describes it as "lncRNA (ENSHGLG00100047889.1)". The record is from RNAcentral. Lineage: Eukaryota; Metazoa; Chordata; Mammalia; Rodentia; Bathyergidae.
GAAAGGUAGAGAGGGAGUGAAUUCCCCAUCUCUUCCUGUGCUGGGACAUCCAUCUUGUCCUAACCUCAGACAUCAGAGUUCUUUCUUUUUAGACCUUCGGACUUUGGACAAAUAACUCCACAGGCUUUCAUCAUUCUUCAGCUUGAAGAUGACAAAUGCUGAGACUUCUCAACCUCCAUAAUUGAGUAGUUUGAAGCUAUAAAGCAAAGGACCAGCCUUUUGCCCCACAAAGCUGCUAAUAGAGAAGAAGGAAAGUCUUUCUGAAUUGUGUGAAGGGGCAAAGGAAAAUGAAGUGGAUCUCUAUGUCUGGACAUGGAAAGAUAUCUAAGAUGUUGUGAGAAGAAAAAAACCAAUUCUGUGAAUAUGAUAUACAAUUUUCAUUUGUAUACAAUUUACUGAUGUAGCAACCAUUUAAUAAGAAGCUGGGAAAGGCAUCUAGGGGAAAUCAAGGAGAGAAAAGAUUUAUCAUGUCUGACAAGAUGGCUUUGGAAAGGUUGUGGUCUAUCUCCUCACAUGCAUGGGACCAAAACAGUUUGCAGUAAAUUAAACAGGUAAAUGUUGGAGAAAGUUUUUGGCUUGUCUGUUUCUUUUUAAAAUAAACUUACUAUGUUUGUAAGCAUCCUAAAUAAAACAAAACUGCAUUUAUUUUUGUUUACAGAUGAAUAUAUUUCAGAUAUUUUAUGAAUUCAAACUGUCUCCUGAAGUAGUUUGAGCUAGGAAGAUUCAUUGGAGGUUGACUUGAGACGUUGGACAAUAGCAUUUGCUGCAUAUAUUACAUCUUUUUACAUCAUCUUUCCUCUGCUUUUAGUGUCUUUUAUUAUAAUUUGUGGUGGGCAAAUUCCAACAUCCUAUAAGACUGAGUUCAAAUGUCAUUUCUCCACUGUGAAGAUUCACUCUGGAUAAAGUUAAUUUUCCCCAAUGCUUUACCAAGUGGUAGCCUAGUGGUAAAAAUCACAGAAUUUGACUUGAC